GACGAACGCUGGCGGCGUGCUUAACACAUGCAAGUCGAACGAAGAGCGAUGGAAGCUUGCUUCUAUCAAUCUUAGUGGCGAACGGGUGAGUAACGCGUAAUCAACCUGCCCUUCAGAGGGGGACAACAGUUGGAAACGACUGCUAAUACCGCAUACGAUCUAAUCUCGGCAUCGAGGAUAGAUGAAAGGUGGCCUCUACAUGUAAGCUAUCACUGAAGGAGGGGAUUGCGUCUGAUUAGCUAGUUGGAGGGGUAACGGCCCACCAAGGCGAGGAUCAGUAGCCGGUCUGAGAGGAUGAACGGCCACAUUGGGACUGAGACACGGCCCAGACUCCCACGGGAGGCAGCAGUGGGGAAUCUUCCGCAAUGGACGAAAGUCUGACGGAGCAACGCCGCGUGAGUGAUGACGGCCUUCGGGUUGUAAAGCUCUGUUAAUCGGGACGAAAGGCCUUCUUGCGAAUAGUGAGAAGGAUUGACGGUACCGGAAUAGAAAGCCACGGCUAACUACGUG
RNAcentral lists this ribosomal RNA (510 nucleotides) under uncultured bacterium. RNAcentral describes it as "partial 16S ribosomal RNA". It matches the Rfam family "Bacterial small subunit ribosomal RNA", at positions 28 to 507 of the family's 1533-position model. The record is from RNAcentral.